AAAUCCUGAAUGAAUCUCACUGCCUGGUUAAAGGAGAGCAGCUGGUCUGUGUGUGCAUCAGCUGGGGGAAUCCUCUGUCUCCAGUUGUUUGGCCUUUAAAGUCCCUCACAGACUUCUCCAUCUCCAGCUCCAGCAACGAUCAGAAAAGGAAACAGGACGAACCUACGUUUCUGAUGAGAAGAAAUGGUUUGAAACAGCUCUUCCUUGGAUAGCAGCAGUGUGUUUUAGUCUGAACCUGGUUUUCAUCGCUGUCCUGAUCAUCUGCAUUCAUCAAAAAAGUAAAGUGAAGAAGAAACCGUGUGAAGAGAACGACACAUACGCAUCUCUGAGAAAGGCAGAAGUUGAGGAUGAGUAUAGCAUCAUACCUUCAUAACUCAAAUAAAAUAAUGAAGACGGUCGUUCCGUGUGUCAUAGCCCAGUAUUUAUGCAAAUGCAAACAAAGUGUGUGUGUUUAAUUUUAUUGUAUGUGAUCGGAAUCUAUGGUCCAGCAAGUCAUCUAUUAUGAAAAACAUUCAAAAUAUAAUUUGUAUCUAAAACCUGAA
Austrofundulus limnaeus is the source of this 542-nucleotide long non-coding RNA. RefSeq lists it as uncharacterized. The record is from RefSeq and is a predicted model, not a curated record. The transcript has 4 exons. NCBI's taxonomy places the organism in Eukaryota, Metazoa, Chordata, Actinopteri, Cyprinodontiformes, Rivulidae.